RNAcentral lists this ribosomal RNA (838 nucleotides) under uncultured bacterium. RNAcentral describes it as "bacterial SSU rRNA". It matches the Rfam family "Bacterial small subunit ribosomal RNA", at positions 8 to 840 of the family's 1533-position model. The record is from RNAcentral.
AGAGUUUGAUCCUGGCUCAGAUUGAACGCUGGCGGCAUGCCUUACACAUGCAAGUCGAACGGCAGCACGGGAGCAAUCCUGGUGGCGAGUGGCGAACGGGUGAGUAAUAUAUCGGAACGUGCCCAGUCGUGGGGGAUAACGCAGCGAAAGCUGUGCUAAUACCGCAUACGAUCUAUGGAUGAAAGCGGGGGACUCGCAAGGGCCUCGCGCGAUUGGAGCGGCCGAUAUCAGAUUAGGUAGUUGGUGUGGUAAAAGCGCACCAAGCCGACGAUCUGUAGCUGGUCUGAGAGGACGACCAGCCACACUGGAACUGAGACACGGUCCAGACUCCUACGGGAGGCAGCAGUGGGGAAUUUUGGACAAUGGGCGCAAGCCUGAUCCAGCAAUGCCGCGUGCAGGAUGAAGGCCUUCGGGUUGUAAACUGCUUUUGUACGGAACGAAACGGUCUGCUUUAAUACAGUGGGCUAAUGACGGUACCGUAAGAAUAAGCACCGGCUAACUACGUGCCAGCAGCCGCGGUAAUACGUAGGGUGCGAGCGUUAAUCGGAAUUACUGGGCGUAAAGCGUGCGCAGGCGGUUAUAUAAGACAGAUGUGAAAUCCCCGGGCUCAACCUGGGACCUGCAUUUGUGACUGUAUAGCUAGAGUACGGUAGAGGGGGAUGGAAUUCCGCGUGUAGCAGUGAAAUGCGUAGAUAUGCGGAGGAACACCGAUGGCGAAGGCAAUCCCCUGGACCUGUACUGACGCUCAUGCACGAAAGCGUGGGGAGCAAACAGGAUUAGAUACCCUGGUAGUCCACGCCCUAAACGAUGUCAACUGGUUGUUGGGUCUUCACUGACU